Long non-coding RNA from Pan troglodytes (chimpanzee), 847 nucleotides. RefSeq lists it as uncharacterized. Lineage: Eukaryota; Metazoa; Chordata; Mammalia; Primates; Hominidae. The transcript has 2 exons. The record is from RefSeq and is a predicted model, not a curated record.
UCUUUAAAGAGAGACUGUAGUAGGAAAGGGUGAUUUACAGUCCCUUUUCUUUUAAUUUUAAUCUUUGGCUUUCAAAACACCCUUUCCUGGAGGAAAAUGGAUGCGCUCUGCAAUUCAUCUCCAUUUCCCUGCCAAUUUGACCUGCUCCCCGUAACUAUUAAUCUGGGCCCCGAAGCUCCACGGUGGCUCAGCAGAUAAACAAAGCCGUCCCUCCCAGAAACGAGGUGGAAGCUCAGAGCUUGAAGCGACAGAAUACAAAUGAAGGAGCUUUUCUGCUUAGUGACUGAAGUGUACCAAACUCGGAUCCGGGAAGCUUGAUUACAAGCAGCACGGUUCAGGCAUGCGACUCAGCUCAGCGGGAAAGCCGUGUCUGACCUCGGAGGGCAGGGCAUUCUGUCGGGUCACAGCACGCUGUGCGGGAAUGGCAAUGCUGUUGUUGACAGAGAACAAGAAAUUCAUGUGCUGACGGGGGCAGAGGGAGUGCAUCUCAUGGCGAGAUCAGCCUUGAUCUGCCACCGGAUUACAGGGGCCUCAGAAGCGGCUGAUUAAUAAUUCUGCAGGAGCCCUUGAGCUGGAAAGCUGGCGCUCUGAGUCUAAUAAUCCCCAGUCAUUGUAAUACAAAGGAAGGACAGGAAUUGAAUUCACAGUUCUGGAUUGUGAAAUUCAAAAUUCGAAAGAAACAGGGAUCCACUUCUUCCUGAGUGUGUUUGUCAACCUAGCUGCAUGCUUGUUUGUGUUAAAUGGCUACUGUGCUUUUUGAAUCUAAAAUCUGAUUAUAUUCAAUUAGUAGAGGCAUCUGGGAUUUCUAAUACACAAAGAGUUAUUAAAGUAACAAAUCUUUCUAAAA